AAAAUGUUGAUGUUAAACCCAUGAAAUUUGAUUGAAUUGUGUGAAUAAAGAAAAUGUUAUUGUUAAACCCAUAAAAUUUGAUUGAAUUGUGGGAAUGAUGAAAAUGUUGUUGUUAAACCCAUGGAAUUUUAUUGAAUUGUGGGAAUAAUGAAAAUGUUGUUAUUAAACACAUGAAAUUUUAUUUAAUUGUGUGAAUGAUGAAAACGUUGUUGUUAAACCUAUGAAAUUGGAUUGAAUUGUG
This 241-nucleotide long non-coding RNA is filed under the name Lathyrus oleraceus (garden pea). Its description in RNAcentral is "Pisum sativum (pea) long non-coding RNA (PSAT_LNC041127)". The record is from RNAcentral. Lineage: Eukaryota; Viridiplantae; Streptophyta; Magnoliopsida; Fabales; Fabaceae.